UCCAAGUCCUGAUAGAACUGACAUGCUUUUUUACCGAUGUUUGACAUAAAAAAAUAUAGCAGGAAAUAGU
Molecule: small RNA, 70 nt
Filed under: Flavobacterium sp. 2
Lineage: Bacteria; Pseudomonadati; Bacteroidota; Flavobacteriia; Flavobacteriales; Flavobacteriaceae
Description: Flavo-1 RNA
Source: RNAcentral